GGGCAGAUGGUGUAAUGGUAACACUCCAAAAUCUGGGUGGUCCCGACCUGGAUUUUGGAGAUGGAGGUUCGAAUCCUUCUCUGCGCA
Molecule: transfer RNA, 87 nt
Filed under: Laccaria bicolor S238N-H82
Lineage: Eukaryota; Fungi; Basidiomycota; Agaricomycetes; Agaricales; Hydnangiaceae
Rfam family: tRNA
About the family: Transfer RNA (tRNA) molecules are approximately 80 nucleotides in length. Their secondary structure includes four short double-helical elements and three loops (D, anti-codon, and T loops). Further hydrogen bonds mediate the characteristic L-shaped molecular structure. tRNAs have two regions of fundamental functional importance: the anti-codon, which is responsible for specific mRNA codon recognition, and the 3' end, to which the tRNAs corresponding amino acid is attached (by aminoacyl-tRNA synthetases). tRNAs cope with the degeneracy of the genetic code in two manners: having more than one tRNA (with a specific anti-codon) for a particular amino acid; and 'wobble' base-pairing, i.e. permitting non-standard base-pairing at the 3rd anti-codon position.
Source: Rfam by way of RNAcentral